Molecule: ribosomal RNA, 393 nt
Filed under: uncultured bacterium
Lineage: Bacteria
Description: partial 16S ribosomal RNA
Rfam family: Bacterial small subunit ribosomal RNA
Source: RNAcentral
AGACGGAGGAUGCAAGCGUUAUCCGGAUUUAUUGGGUUUAAAGGGUGCGUAGGCUGUUUGUCAAGUCAGGGGUGAAAUGCCCGGGCCUAACCCGGGAACUGCCUUUGAUACUGGCAGGCUGGAAUACGGAUGCCGUGGGAGGAAUGAGUAGUGUAGCGGUGAAAUGCAUAGAUAUUACUCAGAACACCGAUUGCGAAGGCAUCUCACGAAUCCGUCAUUGACGCUGAGGCACGAAAGCGUGGGGAUCAAACAGGAUUAGAUACCCUGGUAGUCCACGCAGUAAACGAUGAUAACUAACCGUCGGCGAUAGAGUGUCGGUGGCCAAGCGAAAGCGAUAAGUUAUCCACCUGGGGAGUACGUUCGCAAGAAUGAAACUCAAAGGAAUUGACGGGG